AAGGUGGCCUGUGAGGGUUGCUGGAGGUAUCAGAAGUGCGAAUGCUGACAUAAGUAACGAUAAAGCGGGUGAAAAGCCCGCUCGCCGGAAGACCAAGGGUUCCUGUCCAACGUUAAUCGGGGCAGGGUGAGUCGACCCCUAAGGCGAGGCCGAAAGGCGUAGUCGAUGGGAAACGGGUUAAUAUUCCCGUACUUGGUGUUACUGCGAAGGGGGGACGGAGAAGGCUAUGUUGGCCGGGCGACGGUUGUCCCGGUUUAAGCGUGUAGGUGUGUGUUCCAGGUAAAUCCGGUUCACUUUAACACUGAGGCGUGAUGACGAGGCACUACGGUGCUGAAGCAACAAAUGCCCUGCUUCCAGGAAAAGCCUCUAAGCAUCAGGUAACAUCAAAUCGUACCCCAAACCGACACAGGUGGUCAGGUAGAGAAUACCAAGGCGCUUGAGAGAACUCGGGUGAAGGAACUAGGCAAAAUGGUGCCGUAACUUCGGGAGAAGGCACGCUGACACGUAGGUGAAGUGAUUUACUCACGGAGCUGAAGUCAGUCGAAGAUACCAGCUGGCUGCAACUGUUUAUUAAAAACACAGCACUGUGCAAACACGAAAGUGGACGUAUACGGUGUGACGCCUGCCCGGUGCCGGAAGGUUAAUUGAUGGGGUCAGCGCAAGCGAAGCUCCUGAUCGAAGCCCCGGUAAACGGCGGCCGUAACUAUAACGGUCCUAAGGUAGCGAAAUUCCUUGUCGGGUAAGUUCCGACCUGCACGAAUGGCGUAAUGAUGGCCAGGCUGUCUCCACCCGAGACUCAGUGAAAUUGAACUCGCUGUGAAGAUGCAGUGUACCCGCGGCAAGACGGAAAGACCCCGUGAACCUUUACUAUAGCUUGACACUGAACAUUGAGCCUUGAUGUGUAGGAUAGGUGGGAGGCUUUGAAGUGUGGACGCCAGUCUGCAUGGAGCCGACCUUGAAAUACCACCCUUUAAUGUUUGAUGUUCUAACGUGGACCCGUAAUCCGGGUUGCGGACAGUGUCUGGUGGGUAGUUUGACUGGGGCGGUCUCCUCCUAAAGAGUAACGGAGGAGCACGAAGGUUGGCUAAUCCUGGUCGGACAUCAGGAGGUUAGUGCAAUGGCAUAAGCCAGCUUGACUGCGAGCGUGACGGCGCGAGCAGGUGCGAAAGCAGGUCAUAGUGAUCCGGUGGUUCUGAAUGGAAGGGCCAUCGCUCAACGGAUAAAAGGUACUCCGGGGAUAACAGGCUGAUACCGCCCAAGAGUUCAUAUCGACGGCGGUGUUUGGCACCUCGAUGUCGGCUCAUCACAUCCUGGGGCUGAAGUAGGUCCCAAGGGUAUGGCUGUUCGCCAUUUAAAGUGGUACGCGAGCUGGGUUUAGAACGUCGUGAGACAGUUCGGUCCCUAUCUGCCGUGGGCGCUGGAGAACUGAGGGGGGCUGCUCCUAGUACGAGAGGACCGGAGUGGACGCAUCACUGGUGUUCGGGUUGUCAUGCCAAUGGCACUGCCCGGUAGCUAAAUGCGGAAGAGAUAAGUGCUGAAAGCAUCUAAGCACGAAACUUGCCCCGAGAUGAGUUCU
RNAcentral lists this ribosomal RNA (1576 nucleotides) under Salmonella enterica. Its description in RNAcentral is "bacterial LSU rRNA". It matches the Rfam family "Bacterial large subunit ribosomal RNA", at positions 1253 to 2812 of the family's 2925-position model. The record is from RNAcentral. Lineage: Bacteria; Pseudomonadati; Pseudomonadota; Gammaproteobacteria; Enterobacterales; Enterobacteriaceae. RNAcentral also lists the same sequence under 1 other name.